Long non-coding RNA from Apis florea (little honeybee), 1708 nucleotides. Lineage: Eukaryota; Metazoa; Arthropoda; Insecta; Hymenoptera; Apidae. The record is from RefSeq and is a predicted model, not a curated record.
UCCAAAUACUUGGAACUUGGAUUAAUCAUGAACGAUUGAAUUAAACUGAAUGUUACAUGAUUUACUACGUCGAUAUGUUUGGUUUGUUAUGCUUUUUCUUUAAUUAAGGUUAACCUGAAUUAAGGUUAAGUAGCGCCACGCCCGGUAGAGAAUAUAAUGAUCUCGAUCGAUUGGACAUUCGAUAAUCGCUGGCUAUGAUUGCGAUUCUCGAAAUGAGAAGAAGAAACAAUGGCGUCGUUUCCAGUCACAUGUUUCGUAGUUAUUGUUCGAAAUUGUAAUUUCUUUUAACUUUGUGCGUGAAAUGUACACGAAUCGAGUAGAUUUAAGAACAGAGUGUUAUUAGAUGUAUACGAUUUGUGAUUAGUUUCAAAAACAAUUAUCUUUUAAAGAAAAGUUCAAUGAUAUGAUAUUAGAUUAAUUGCAAAGUGAUUAGGUGUUUCAAUUUUUGAAUAUGUAAAAAUAAGAAUAAUUUUAUCGACGUAGUAGAAAAUGAAAAAAAUUUCAUUGAAGGCCAUUCGUGCAACGUGAAAGAAGUGGAAAUAAAUCAUCUCUGGUAAUACAGGAAUAUAAUCGAGCAAAUUUAUCUCAAGUCGUUUUUUUUUUUUUUGCAGUGAUCAUAUCUAACGCUUAUACUAAUGUUUCAAAUGAUGUGUGAAUUGAAAUAUUCGAAAAAUGAAAAAAAAAAAAAAAAAAAAGUAAACAAAGUGUUUCAAUUUUUGAAGGUUGGCAAGAUCCAAGUGAUAAUCCAGUACUUCAGCAAGGCGUAACAAGUGUCUGUGUGACGUCACGCGGCUUUCUGGAGGCGGAGCCUGUGAUUGGGGGAGCAAGUGGGGGUGGGCUCUCCCGUAUCGUGGAUCGUUUGCCCCACCCUCGGGAUUUUGUUCCUUCGUACCACCGCUACUUUCAACCUCCUCCUUUUCUCUCCCUCGAUCUCUUUUCCUCUCUUUUGAAGUUUGUUCGGUGACCCCCCACCAAUCUGUACUCCACCAGGUAGGAAGCUGUUACCUGUGAUAGCCAUUGCAAAAUGCAAUCCAGGUGGAACUUAUAGAACUGUAUAUUUGAUAUAUUUUUCUGUAAACUGGCGCCAGACUGUUAAUAAAGGUGCAAGGUUUUCUUCUUAAGCGAAACUCGAUCUAAUUUUAUUGCUUAAUGAUAUCAUAGCGAUCCUUUACAACUUUUCUUAUUAAUUCACAAACUUCUUUCAAUUUUCCAGCUAAAAGAAAUCCAGAAUUCUUUUCUCAAGAAGAAAUUCCUCAACAAAUCUCAAUUCCUCGCGAAGCCGUUCAUCAUUUGAAAUUAUUGAGAAAAUCGUCAAUAUCCAACAAAGUCCAUCGAUGUUCCUUAAUUUCUUACCUUCGUUGGAAAGAUAAGAAUUUGAUGUCAAAUAGUUCGGAUGAGGACAAUAAAUUAUGGAACUAUACCGUGGAAAUUUAUCGUUUCUACCUCCCUGCACUUGCUAAACGGGAGUGAAAGCCCGAUGUGGUCCAGCUUUGAGGAGGACAUCAAAAGGAUAACAAUACAGAUGUGAGACAUACCCUUCCUAUUCCGUUCUCGUACGCUUUAUGUUGGGGAAAACGAGCUUUAAAGCAUCAGCUUUACCACUCGUUCCAACGGGAAAACGUAAAUUAAGAACAUCCGAACAGAACAUUAAAUGAAUUUAGUCUAAUUUGGAAAUGGAUCGUAUACGUAUUAAGUACAAUCAAUAACU